This 1048-nucleotide long non-coding RNA is filed under the name Piliocolobus tephrosceles (Ugandan red Colobus). Its description in RNAcentral is "lncRNA (ENSPTEG00000037045.1)". Lineage: Eukaryota; Metazoa; Chordata; Mammalia; Primates; Cercopithecidae. The record is from RNAcentral.
CGGGGCCAGGUGGGUGUGAUGGGCAGACACGAUGCUCAGGAUGAAGGCCGGGGCACAGAGGCUGUGGACAUAGCCGAACUCCUCCCUUUUCCCAGCCUCGCUGUCUCGGGUGACCUGGGACCGGAGGCCCCUGCCCAGCGGUGCUGGCACACAUGGCGUCUGACUUUGUGCUCCACACCCAUCGGGGUGAGGCCAGCUGGCUGCAGGGGCCGUGCCAAGCCACGGAAGGGGGUGCAGACAGCAGGGGAUGGUGCCCAGGGUGACACAGCUCGGGCAGGCUCAGCCCUGGUGGGCAGCCAGAGGCUGGAGAGAACCGACAGAGUGGACCGAGCUGGUCCCAGGACGGGCUGGUGCCUCCCAAACAGACCGGGAGAGCUCAGCGCAGGAGGCCAACAUCCUGACCCCAGCUCUGCUCUCCAGACUUGCGGUGUGACCUUGGGCAGGUUCUGUGAGCCUCAGUUUCCCCCAUUUGGCCUGGAAGCUCAGCUGCUCUUCCCAGCCCAGUCCCACCCCAUGGCACAUAUUUCUUGGCCCUUGUUUGGUGUCCAGGGUAGGAGAGGUGGGGCCCUGGGAUUGGGUGUGGACAACCUCCCUGACCCCCAGCAGCCUCACACUCCCUGCCCCCGAAGCCCAUGCUGGCCCCACCCCUUGAAGCCAUGUGCCCCCUCAAUAGCACUCCACCCCUCCUCACCGUUCCUCCAACAGCCAGGAAUGCCCCCCACGCCAUGCCUGAGAGACCCUCACCCAAGGCCAGGCCUCGGCUGAGGGUCAUGUCAUCAGAGCAGCCGCUCAGGUCACCCAGAAGGCCCUAAGUGCCCACCCUUCUCUCUCAGGCCAGGGCCUUGGAGCUGGGAUUGAGCCAGGCAGGACUCGGGGGCCUGUGGGUCUCACCCAAUGCCCUCCUCUGCCAAAGGGCAGAAGGCACAGAGUGGGGUGGAGGCCGGCCUGAGGUCACACAGCACACAGUGGCAGACCCUGACCGCAGGUGGGAGCCAGAUCCCGACUGCAGGUCCAGUUCUCAGCCAUGCCGUCCUUCCCCAGUGCCAUG